This 250-nucleotide ribosomal RNA is filed under the name uncultured bacterium. Its description in RNAcentral is "partial 16S ribosomal RNA". It matches the Rfam family "Bacterial small subunit ribosomal RNA", at positions 524 to 773 of the family's 1533-position model. The record is from RNAcentral.
UACGUAGGGGGCAAGCGUUGUCCGGAAUUACUGGGCGUAAAGGGCGUGUAGGCGGUUUUUUAAGUCAGAUGUGAAAGUUCGGGGCUCAACCUCGGAAUUGCAUUUGAAACUGGAGAACUUGAGUCCUGGAGAGGGUGGCGGAAUUCCCGGUGUAGGAGUGAAAUCCGUAGAUAUUAGGAGGAACACCAGUGGCGAAGGCGACUUACUGGACAGAUACUGACGCUGAGGCGCGAAAGCGUGGGGAGCAAAC